UACGUAGGGUGCAAGCGUUAAUCGGAAUUACUGGGCGUAAAGCGUGCGCAGGCGGUGAUGUAAGACAGGUGUGAAAUCCCCGGGCUUAACCUGGGAACUGCAUUUGUGACUGCAUCGCUGGAGUGCGGCAGAGGGGGAUGGAAUUCCGCGUGUAGCAGUGAAAUGCGUAGAUAUGCGGAGGAACACCGAUGGCGAAGGCAAUCCCCUGGGCCUGCACUGACGCUCAUGCACGAAAGCGUGGGGGAGC
RNAcentral lists this ribosomal RNA (247 nucleotides) under uncultured bacterium. Its description in RNAcentral is "partial 16S ribosomal RNA". It matches the Rfam family "Bacterial small subunit ribosomal RNA", at positions 524 to 769 of the family's 1533-position model. The record is from RNAcentral.